This 494-nucleotide ribosomal RNA is filed under the name uncultured bacterium. Its description in RNAcentral is "partial 16S ribosomal RNA". It matches the Rfam family "Bacterial small subunit ribosomal RNA", at positions 28 to 507 of the family's 1533-position model. The record is from RNAcentral.
GACGAACGCUGGCGGCGUGCUUAACACAUGCAAGUCGAACGGUGAAGCGCCUUCCUUUUUGGUGGGUGUGGAUGAGUGGCGAACGGGUGAGUAACACGUGAGUAACCUGCCCCCUUCUUCUGGAUAACCGCAUGAAAGUGUGGCUAAUACGGGAUAUUCUGGGUCUGUCGCAUGAUGGGUCUGGGAAAGAUAUUGUUUCGGUGGGGGAUGGGCUCGCGGCCUAUCAGCUUGUUGGUGGGGUGAUGGCCUACCAAGGCGGUGACGGGUAGCCGGCCUGAGAGGGUGGACGGUCACACUGGGACUGAGACACGGCCCAGACUCCUACGGGAGGCAGCAGUCGGGAAUAUUGCACAAUGGGCGCAAGCCUGAUGCAGCGACGCCGCGUGAGGGAUGGAGGCCUUCGGGUUGUGAACCUCUUUCGCCAGUGAAGCAGGCCUGCCUCGUUUGUGGGUGGGUUGACGGUAGCUGGAUAAGAAGCGCCGGCUAACUACGUG